Molecule: ribosomal RNA, 468 nt
Filed under: uncultured bacterium
Lineage: Bacteria
Description: partial 16S ribosomal RNA
Rfam family: Bacterial small subunit ribosomal RNA
Source: RNAcentral
GACGAACGCUGGCGGCGUGCUUAACACAUGCAAGUCGAACGGAAAGGCCCUGCUUUUGUGGGGUGCUCGAGUGGCGAACGGGUGAGUAACACGUGAGUAACCUGCCCUUGACUUUGGGAUAACUUCAGGAAACUGGGGCUAAUACCGGAUAGGAGCUCCUGCAGCAUGGGGGGGGUUGGAAAGUUUCGGCGGUUGGGGAUGGACUCGCGGCUUAUCAGCUUGUUGGUGGGGUAGUGGCUUACCAAGGCUUUGACGGGUAGCCGGCCUGAGAGGGUGACCGGCCACAUUGGGACUGCGAUACGGCCCAGACUCCUACGGGAGGCAGCAGUGGGGAAUAUUGCACAAUGGGCGGAAGCCUGAUGCAGCAACGCCGCGUGCGGGAUGACGGCCUUCGGGUUGUAAACCGCUUUCGCCUGUGACGAAGCGUGAGUGACGGUAAUGGGUAAAGAAGCACCGGCUAACUACGUG